UACGUAGGGUGCAAGCGUUGUCCGGAAUUAUUGGGCGUAAAGAGCUCGUAGGCGGUUUGUCGCGUCUGCUGUGAAAACCCGAGGCUCAACCUCGGGCCUGCAGUGGGUACGGGCAGACUAGAGUGCGGUAGGGGAGAUUGGAAUUCCUGGUGUAGCGGUGGAAUGCGCAGAUAUCAGGAGGAACACCAAUGGCGAAGGCAGAUCUCUGGGCCGUAACUGACGCUGAGGAGCGAAAGCAUGGGGGGCGAACAGG
This 253-nucleotide ribosomal RNA is filed under the name uncultured bacterium. RNAcentral describes it as "partial 16S ribosomal RNA". It matches the Rfam family "Bacterial small subunit ribosomal RNA", at positions 524 to 776 of the family's 1533-position model. The record is from RNAcentral.